RNAcentral lists this unclassified non-coding RNA (359 nucleotides) under Hevea brasiliensis (rubber tree). Lineage: Eukaryota; Viridiplantae; Streptophyta; Magnoliopsida; Malpighiales; Euphorbiaceae. The record is from RNAcentral.
AGUGCCCAGAAAUUGUGGGUGACGUACAGCCUGCUCCCAAAAGGAUCAAGUUUGAUGAAGAUUAGGCUUUUGAGGAAAUUUCAAUGGAAAAUAUUAUGAAAAUUUUGUUUCAGCGCAAUUAUCUUUUUCAUUUAACGUGGAUGAAAAUUUUGACAUGCUUGCUCCACUUUUCUGCUCGGGUCAUUACAGGUAAACAAAUAGGCAACUUUCAUGAAGUAGGUCAUUGCCAGAAAUUCUAACUAAGCUGUGUAUCAAAGAAUCAGCAAAGCAACCUAUAUGAAGCUUAUGUGAACUGCGUUUUGUUUACUUCUGCAUAGGUUUCUAACAGUAUAAUGCUCCGUUACUUAACUGACGUCCCC